ACUUUCGUAGUGUAAUGGUUAACACGCUCGACUCCCAACCGAGAGGCUCGUGGUUCGAUUCCCGGCGAAGGCA
RNAcentral lists this transfer RNA (73 nucleotides) under Stegodyphus mimosarum. It matches the Rfam family "tRNA". From Rfam's summary of the family: Transfer RNA (tRNA) molecules are approximately 80 nucleotides in length. The record is from Rfam by way of RNAcentral. Lineage: Eukaryota; Metazoa; Arthropoda; Arachnida; Araneae; Eresidae.